AACGCACAUUGCGCCCCUUGGUAUUCCGAGGGGCAUGCCUGUUCGAGCGUCAUUACAACCCUCAAGCCUAGCUUGGUAUUGGACUUCGUCGCUUAUCCGGCGGGUCUUAAAAUCAGUGGCGGUGUCGUUGAGGCCCUGAGCGUAGUAAAUAUCCUCGCUAUAGGGACCCGGCAGCUACUGGCCACCAACCCCCAAUUUUCUAAGUUUGACCUCGGAUCAGGUAGGGAUACCCGCUGAACUUAA
RNAcentral lists this unclassified non-coding RNA (243 nucleotides) under uncultured fungus. RNAcentral's name for it is "sequence contains ITS2". The stretch from base 1 to 52 matches the Rfam family "5.8S ribosomal RNA", at positions 103 to 154 of the family's 154-position model. Lineage: Eukaryota; Fungi. The record is from RNAcentral.